Molecule: long non-coding RNA, 280 nt
Filed under: Phaseolus vulgaris (common bean)
Lineage: Eukaryota; Viridiplantae; Streptophyta; Magnoliopsida; Fabales; Fabaceae
Description: long non-coding RNA (PVUL_LNC005162)
Source: RNAcentral
GAAGGGAUGAAGGUGCAGGAAGAAGCACUCUUCCGCUAGCUCAACAAUUUCAGUUUCCACCACGCUUUUAAGAUGGCAAUUGCUUCCUGCACCCGAUCAAUUGUGACUGGCACCCGACGAACUUUUUAAAAUCCCAUCAUGCCCUUGUCUUCUUCAUAUGGUGAGGUAGAGGAAGUUCAUUGUUGUGUGAAGCUUUAGUCCGCACCAUCUUCUAGAACUACCUCCACCUCUAGUCCGCACCAUCUUACAACAUAUAUAACAAAAUAACAUUCAAUCCAAC